This is a long non-coding RNA of Lepidothrix coronata (blue-crowned manakin), 2312 nucleotides long. RefSeq lists it as uncharacterized. The record is from RefSeq and is a predicted model, not a curated record. The transcript is spliced from 2 exons. NCBI's taxonomy places the organism in Eukaryota, Metazoa, Chordata, Aves, Passeriformes, Pipridae.
CCAGCUAGAUGCAAAUGACAUUUUCUCAUUUCAUUAUCUAAGCUAGCUGAUAAUUUCCUGAAGAUUUUAAAUGGGCAACAGUUGAGUCAUGACCUUUCUUAAGCUUAUGGAGGUAAGGAGCAGUCACAUUGGGACUGUGUGAAAACAAGCAACUAUAUUUGUUUUGCAGUCUUCCUGAUCUGAAUUUGUGAAAUUGAGUUCUUGACUUGGGUGAAGCACUGCAGAAGGGACUUUGAAAGCACACUGACAAAGAGAUGGAGAGCUGGAGUCUGUUCCCACAAAAUCAGCAAUAAAACUGACUUCAAUAAGUGCAGGGUGAGGUGGGGAAUGACUCGAUGCAGCGGCGUCCCACUGGUUGCAGUGACCUGUUUCAGUGGGCUUGAAAGCCAAUUUUCAAGGAAGACAGACUCCAUCCUGCUUUGCCAUCAAACUGAGGUCACACAGAGCCUGUGCAGGCUACAGGAUCAGAGACUGAGAACAUCUAAAUUUUUUUGUAGGCUGAUCACAUUUUUCAAGUGAAAACAUUGAGGUACUUUGAAAAUGAAUUGCAUAUAAGAAAUUUAAAUAAAUUAAGAUCUGUAGCUUACUGGUAUCACAGUAUUUUUUAAUGUAAUUAAUAGCAUAUCAAAUGGAUUGCUCUUCUAAGAUAGGUGAAUUAUCAGAGAGAUAGCUGUUAUCUACUACAAAUACUUUUUUGUUAUGUGCUAGGUUUAUGAAGGUCAGCCAUGCUGUGAUGUGAGUGACUGUUGAAAAUAUUAGAGAUUUCUAACCUGUACUGUUCCUGUUAUUAUUGUAAGAAUUGUAUAAAUUGUAAUAAAUUGUAAUACAUACUCAACCUUUCACUUAGUUUUGACGGUGUGUCCCCUACACUGAUACAGCAACUGGAACACGUGGCAAACCAGAAAAGUGAAUUUUUUCUGUUCAUUGAAGAUAUAGGGUGAAAUGACUGAGAGGUUAAAUCCCAGUAUGAGUUGCAAGUCAAGUGAAACAACGAAAAAUUUCACUUUGAUGAGUCAGAUCUAAGAAUGUUGCUGUAAUGAAGGAUAAUUAUGAUGACAGAAAUUAAGGAAAGAAUUACGAUAAUUGAAAACUCUGUUGUGGCAGAUAUUAAAAGACCCUGGAGUUCUGGGGCUGUUAAACAUUACCAUUAAAAUCCUGGUAAUUAGAAAUACUUGACAAAGGAUGGGUGAACAUUUAGCAAAACAAAAGCUUAACUAUUAGUUUCUGAUAAUCCUGUUAAAUUGCACACUGUGUUUAUUACAUGUUUGAGUCUUCUGUGACUGAGACUGCUUGAUGGCAUAGGUGGUUUCCAGCAUCUAAACCUUCCAUCUUAAAUCUUUGGAAAUAGAUUUAACUACAAAAGAAAAAAAAAAAGAGAGAGAGAAGACAAUACCAGGAAAGCUUGUGCUUCAGCCCAUUGCUCUAAUCAAGCACAGACACGAUAAGAUAUAUGAAGGUCUAAUUCCCAUGAAAGUUUGCUUGUGACCCUGUUCUUUGCAUUGUAUGACUGAAAUGUCUCAGUUCCUGCACAGCUGCCUAAAGUUCAUUUCAGGCUGAGUUUGUGGCUGUAUGAUGUGCAUUAUUCCACUCUCUUUUGUGCAUUUUUGGGGUACUUUUUGUCUAAGGGAACUGCUUAUAUUUUCUAUUUUGAGAGAUCUUCUUAGUUUACCUGUCCUUGGGUUACAGAAAAAGCUGCUUCUGAUCAUCUGUGUAGAGAUCAAGUGCAGGAAAAGGGCAUCCAAAAGACCAAGGACGUGUAAGUAAUUUUCAUACUGGUGUGUAUGGUAAGGCUUGAUUAGUUUACAAAUUAUUUUCAACCAUUUGAAAAUGAAGUGAUUUGGGUCCUGGAACACAAAGAAGAAAGAAAUUACUGGACUAUUCUUAUUAGAGCCAACUUGGCAGAAUUUGCAACUUGACCAGCAAGAAGCUCCCAUUAUUUUAGGAACAGUAUGGGGUCCAACCCUGUAAACCCACAGUCCUGGCAGCCCCAGUGAAGAAGUCAUGGUGUCCAUAGCAACACACUGCAGUGUGAAGUAUUCCUGCACCUCCUCAGCUCCCAUCCUGGCACUGCUGGGACACGGACAAACUGUGCGUGACUGAUCCUGUUUGUGUCACCACUGUUUUAGCUCCACAUUACAAACCUUGUUUCCCCCACAAAGAGCAUCUGCUUUCUGCAUGACAUGUUUUUAAUGUGCUGAUUUAUCAUUGCCAGAUACAGGAUUUUUAUUGCUGAAUUUUGAAUAUUGUAUUUAAGGUGCUCUUUUUUUCGAUUACAGAUGUUUUACAUAUAAAUUGCCUCAUAUUACAAAAAA